GCUGCGCCCGGCGUUCGCGCCGGGCGAGGAUCGCAAC
Molecule: non-coding RNA, 37 nt
Filed under: Asanoa hainanensis
Lineage: Bacteria; Bacillati; Actinomycetota; Actinomycetes; Micromonosporales; Micromonosporaceae
Source: RNAcentral